AAUUCAGUUGGUAGAGCAUGGCGCUUGCAACGCCAGGGUUGUGGGUUCGAUUCCCAC
Molecule: transfer RNA, 57 nt
Filed under: Salmo salar (Atlantic salmon)
Lineage: Eukaryota; Metazoa; Chordata; Actinopteri; Salmoniformes; Salmonidae
Also listed under: 1 other name
Rfam family: tRNA
About the family: Transfer RNA (tRNA) molecules are approximately 80 nucleotides in length. Their secondary structure includes four short double-helical elements and three loops (D, anti-codon, and T loops).
Source: Rfam by way of RNAcentral